RNAcentral lists this transfer RNA (73 nucleotides) under Felis catus (domestic cat). It matches the Rfam family "tRNA". From Rfam's summary of the family: Transfer RNA (tRNA) molecules are approximately 80 nucleotides in length. The record is from Rfam by way of RNAcentral. RNAcentral also lists the same sequence under 4 other names. Lineage: Eukaryota; Metazoa; Chordata; Mammalia; Carnivora; Felidae.
GCCUGGCUGGCUCAGUCAGUAGAGCAUGAGACUCUUGAUCUUGGGGUCCUGAGUUCAAGCCCCACAUUGGGCG